UCUAGAUCCUUGAGUCCAUAGUUCAGUAGGUGAGUGUUAUAAAUAUCUUCAGCCCUUCCCUAAGCUUAAAAGUUGCUAAGAAUUACACCCGCCAGACUCCUUUGCAGCUUGAGUUCCACAUAAAAAUUAGAUUCUACCCCUGAGUGGCAGUAGCAGGAGAUUUAGAAAGCAGAAUUGCAACAGAAACUCUUGCUGCUGCUAUUGGUUCUGGCAAGCAAGGUCCUGAAACAGGUUAUUGGAAGUUCCUGGUGAUGGCAGCCAUUCUCUGAUUUCUUGCAUUGAGCUUCCAGUUCUCAUGUGUGACAGGCAGUUGGGAAAGCAGCUGGUGGGGAAUGCAGCAGCUUCUUGACAACCGAAUCACAGCUAGUAUGAUGUAUCCUUGAACUAAACAGUCCAGUGGUCAUCCCCUGACUGCUGCUGCCCCAGCUCAUCCAAUCAUUUGCUUCUUUGAUUCCUGGGCCAGGUGCAUAUUUUGCUCCGUGAUGAAGGACAUCAACAAGUUUCUGUUGCAGAAUACCCCCAACAUUCAAACUGGAGUUUGGAGGUGAAGGGAACCUGAAAAAGCUGAUCUACUGGGAUGCAUAAAAUCUGCUUCAGGACUGAUGAAGUUGCAUUUCUGAACUAGUAUUAAAAGGGUGAGAGAGAUUUAUGUGAAACAACUGAAACAUUUCAGUGUCAAAAUACUCCCAAAUACAGAACAACAGAGUAGAUCUGUGUGCUCACUCUUGCAAGAAAGGAAGAAGGAGGAUCUGGAGGAAAUUGAACAAUAAAGCUUCCUAGCUGAAUCCAGUAAAUUUUCCCAACCUCUCCAGAAUAUGAAAAAAAAAAAUGUUGCUUUUCUGUUUUGGUAAUUUUUCACAGUUAUGAAAGAAUUGGUGAGAGCAGUUUAGGAGAUGCAAUGACACUGUAUAACAGAAGAAAAAUAAAAGGUAAUAAGUA
Molecule: long non-coding RNA, 939 nt
Filed under: Homo sapiens (human)
Lineage: Eukaryota; Metazoa; Chordata; Mammalia; Primates; Hominidae
Description: HSALNT0364074
Source: RNAcentral